This 253-nucleotide ribosomal RNA is filed under the name uncultured bacterium. RNAcentral's name for it is "partial 16S ribosomal RNA". It matches the Rfam family "Bacterial small subunit ribosomal RNA", at positions 524 to 776 of the family's 1533-position model. The record is from RNAcentral.
UACGUAGGGGGCAAGCGUUAUCCGGAUCUACUGGGUGUAAAGGGGGCGCAGACGGCGAUGCAAGCCAGGAGUGAAAGCCCGGGGCCCAACCUCGGGACUGCUCUUGGAACUGCGUGGCUGGAGUGCAGGAGGGGCAGGCGGAAUUCCUGGUGUAGCGGUGAAAUGCGUAGAUAUCAGGAGGAACACCGGUGGCGAAGGCGGCCUGCUGGACUGCAACUGACGUUGAGGCCCGAAAGCGUGGGGAGCAAACAGG